Molecule: non-coding RNA, 1484 nt
Organism: Pelobates cultripes (western spadefoot toad)
Lineage: Eukaryota; Metazoa; Chordata; Amphibia; Anura; Pelobatidae
Source: the annotation of a GenBank genome assembly
UGAAAUGGUCAGAGGGUUUACUGUGUCCUGUGGUGGCUGCAGGUCUAAACACAAAUUCACCUAAGGUAGAGUUUUUGUUUUUUGUUUAAUGGAUGAAUGCCACCUCCCAGUGGUUCCUGGUGGGACUAGUGAUAGGAAUGAAUGGUGGAAUGGUGGUAUGAGUGGUUGAGAAUGGUCCUGGACAGGAAAGGGGAAUAAAGGGAUGAACCUGUUUGUUUAUUAUGUCUGUAAACCUGGUCUCCAUGAACAUGGACUUUUAAAGAAGAAUAAAAUUGACAUAGCUUUAAUACAGGAAACCUAUUGGAAAGAUUCAGCAAUUAGGCUUUGGAAAUAUGCAAAAUAAAGAUGGGUACUUAUAAUUUUAUUGAAAGGAAUGAAAUUUGAGCAAAUAUAUGUAGAAAGAUGACAAAGGGUGAUAUUUAAUCCUGAUAGCAAAAAAUAAUUAUAUAUUUUACACAAUCAUUAAUUUAUAUGCUCCAAAUCAAACUCCAACAAAAGUUCUGAACAAACUCAUAAAAACUUAAAAAUAUGCAUGGCAUGUAAUUGGAAAAUUAAAGGUAAACCACUACAGCCGGUAAUAUUACAACAAUUUGACUUUCAACAUAGAAUGGAGGCAGGCUUUUUCAAUGAAAGGUACAGUUUGAUAAACAUAUGGAGAUAUAGACUCCAUGGAGGCAGUAUAGAGAUAGAACUAAUUGUAAUUAUUUUAUAGGACUUGCAAUCUGAACCUUCCUCUUCUCUCUCCCUCUUACAUCUUAAUACUACGACAGAGUAUGAAUGGAGUUGAAUAAAAUACUCUUUUUUUCUUUCUUUUUUCUCUUCUGGAUGUCAUACUGCAUAUCUAGGGUGGAACCUUUUUUUAUGAAAUAUUGAAUUUUCAUUUUCUCCUUUAAUGAUGUUUGGAACUGUACGUUUACUAUAUCUAAUAACUAGAUAAUUUGGAAAACAUUGUAUUCUAAUCUUUUCAAUAAAAAAUGUAUAGAAAUUUCCAGUUCACCAUGUGUCACAGUGUCAGGUAAACCAGCUUGUGCUAGCCUUAGCAUGCUUGUUUUGAUUUGUGUUUUAGACUGCCAUUUCUGUUGCCAGGAAAAAAAUAGGAUGUAAUGGAGAAGAGGCUGUGGUUUUUUGUUUCGUUUGUUUGAUGGGAGCAAGUAGGCAUCUUAGUUUGCCCCCACCAAAUUAAGAUCAUCCCAAUGAUGUGGCCUGCAAUUCCUAUCCAAUCAACAUGAAGGUAAAAGGAAAAAAUAUGAUUGAUGGUUAGGGGAGAGACACUAUUUUAUUCACAAGACAAAUGACAACUGACCAACAGAAGGAAAAAGGAGGCACACUAAAACAAAUGACACUUUGACUGCAGCUAUUGAGGGAGACAGAUCAGCAGUAGUGAUGUCCCGAACGGUUCUCCGAACGGUUUGACGCGGACGGCCAACAUAUGCGCUGUUUGGUCCGCCUCCUAUGUCAUCAUUGAGUAAACUUUGACCCUGUAC